RNAcentral lists this ribosomal RNA (468 nucleotides) under uncultured bacterium. RNAcentral describes it as "partial 16S ribosomal RNA". It matches the Rfam family "Bacterial small subunit ribosomal RNA", at positions 28 to 507 of the family's 1533-position model. The record is from RNAcentral.
GACGAACGCUGGCGGCGUGCUUAACACAUGCAAGUCGAACGGAAAGGCCCUGCUUUUGUGGGGUGCUCGAGUGGCGAACGGGUGAGUAACACGUGAGUAACCUGCCCUUGACUUUGGGAUAACUUCAGGAAACUGGGGCGAAUACCGGAUAGGAGCUCCUGCUGCAUGGUGGGGGUUGGAAAGUUUCGGCGGUUGGGGAUGGUCUCGCGGCUUAUCAGCUUGUUGGGGGGGUAGUGGCUUACCAAGGCUUUGACGGGUAGCCGGCCUGAGAGGGUGACCGGGCACAUUAGGACUGAGGUAGGGCCCAGACGGCUACGGGAGGCAGCAGGGGGGAAUAUUGCACAACGGGGGGAAGCGUGAUGCAGCAACGCCGGGUGCGGGAUGACGGGCUUCGGGUGGUAAACCGAUGUCGACUGUGAUGAAGCGGGAGUGACGGUAAUGGGUAAAGAAGCACCGGCUAACUACGUG